UGCAUUAAGCUUCACUCAGAGAGAAACAAUGCAUUUUAUCAUAGGGCCGGACAGCUACAUGCACAAGAUGCUACCUGCAGAGAUUGGUUUUUGCCCAGAUGUGCAGGAGAGAUGCACAGAGAGGAAGAAAUGCAUACAUGUGUGCAGAUUUUGGCAUGUGCACAAGAAGCCUGGAAGGAUUUUCUUUGGAUCUACAGUCAAAAUGGAUUUCCGAGAGGAAGCUGUCUGAACACACACCUCUUCCCUGUGCUACAUACGGUCCCAUCUCUGCCAGCCAGGUUGUCAGGAAAGUGAUCAGCACUGGCUUCAACUCUGGCUAGAGCUCUUUGGCCAAUGUGACGGGCAGAAAACUGGAAUGAGGACAGAAAAGCACCUCAGAGGUUUGAAGAGUCGCGUCUCUCACCACCUUGCUGUAGGUUUUCUGAAUACUUCUGAGUUUAGGAGCAUUUUUUCUCAACAGGCAAGUCAGGAGCUGCUAAGAUAAACCAUGGCAGUAAGCUCGAGCCAGUGUUCGUAUUUGCCAUUGAUCGGCCACCAAGUGCUUGCUAUGUGCCAUGCAUUGUGCUAAGCACUAUCUCAUUUAAUAUUUACAGCAAUCUUAUGAGGUAGAUGCUACUGUUAUCUCCAUUUUACAGAUGGGGAAACUGAGGCACAGAGUUCCACAGCUGGUAACUUGAGGAAUAGGAAUUCAACCACUGGACAGUCUGGCUGGAGUUUUUUGUGGCAGGAGAAAAUAUGCUGUCUAAAUUUGCCUUGGGAAACCAUCAUGGUGGUCGCAAAACCACUUCUACGGCUUGCCUUGACCUAGCAGGAAUGAAGAUAUAAAGAAAGAAUGAGCGCGUCAUGGUUAUGAUGGGAUGAUGAUGUCUGUUGUGUUGUUUGGUGUCAGUUUCUGUAACGCCUUUCAAUUUCAAUCAAGGCUAUUAUCCUUUCCUCUGUUUUAGUGAAGUUUCCUAGAAGUAGAAAAUGGGAGUGUAUUGGGCAUCUCAGAGUUUUCAGCUGAACUGAAGGGUCUGAUGGUAACCUUACCCCCAAAUCCCUGAGAGAAAAGCAGGGAGUCCCUGCUUCAGCUCUGCUCAGAAGAGCCUCCCUCACAUGGUGGUUUCUGUGUCACUAGACUGGUUAACCAAAUGGUUCUUCUAAAUACCCAACUUUUAAUAGAAACUUCUGUGGCUUGGAUUAUUAAAGUCCAAACAUGCUUAUUUAAUCGUGUUUCAAGUCCAUCUAUCUUUUUUGAGUCUAAGGAAGACUCACUCGGUCAGAAGGAGUAGAGGGAAGAGGAUUAAUACAUGAUUUUCUUUUUCCCCUUUUUCUUUUAACUUAGGCUGAGACUUAUUUGAAUGCCUGUUUCAUAUGGAGCUUUUAAGUGUAACAGUUGUGAGUGAAAUUGCCCCUUUUAUUUUCAAGGUAAUUGAAUUCCAUUUUUCACUUUCCAUUUCCCUCUAGAAAAAUCAAAACGUUUUCAGAGCUUGGCUUCUUAGUGGGUGAUUUUCUAAGGUGGGAACUUUAGAACCGUAAAACAUUCUAGUGUGGCAAAGGCAUUCAGGAACCGGAUGACCAGGCCCCUUCUCCGCAGGUGAACAGCCUCCACCAGCCGGUCUUAGAGAACAUGUUGAUUUCACUGUGUUUUUAUUUGAAACACCAAAGAAAUGCCCAUAUCUUGUCCUUGGGCCAGGGCUGUGGGUUAGGGGAGCUGGGUUUCUGUCCAGAAUCUUGUCAUCUGUAGGGCAGCUGAGGGGCAUUAUUACCCAGAGGUCCCUGGAAACCUGUGCUAAAUUGGUUUGGAUCAGUGUCCGUGAAAAUGUUGGACAAAGGAGAGUCGAUUUUAGCUGACACCUGGACACGACUUUAAAUAACACUGUAUCACAGAGUGACAUAAUGAUUGUCCUCCCAACUCUUUUUCGGUCUUUCCGAUUAUGUUAGGGACAAAGUCUCAGUUUGGUGCUGUUGUGGUCGAACUAUCUUCUCAUCUCUGUUUUUUAAAGACAGGCAGAUCAAGCCUUACUCCUAGGGCUUUAGAAGGUAAUAGUUUCUGAUUUGGAUUUAAUCACAUUGUUUUAUUUCCUUUUUAACAUUUUUAUGACAACUUUUGCUUUAUAGCAGUUUUAAAGGUAGGAAAAAAUUCUCAUUUGAAAACAAGUUGGUUUGAGAUGUUUUUCACUCUUACAUAAAAGACCCACCUUCACAGCGUAUGAGCUUCUAAAGUUGGGGAAGCAGUGGCUUAGGUGGGCAGGCAGGAAAUUCAAGGAGGUUGGUUUCUGCCAAAGUCAGAGAUGAUUGCCACUUACUGGAAGGCUGUGUUGGAACAGAGUGGGCACAGGCAUUGGGAGCAGAGCUGAUUUCCAAUCUUCCUGCUGCCCUCACUGCCUGUGUGUGCCGUGGCCUUCUUGAGCUUUAAGUUUUCUCACCUGUGGAACAGGUUUCAUGAGCAGUUGGAAGAAAGCAAAUGAGCUUCAUUUUCUACAACAGGGUGGGUGGUGUAGUUGAUAUUCACCCCAAAGGUGCAGGAUCCCCACUUCUGUUUAUUGCCAGCACUCUGAGUUUGCUUCUGGAUGGAAGGGGAAGAUGGACUAGAGCUGAUGCCUCCUGCACCCUGGUGAAGAAAUGCACCCUGAGGCCAGAAAAUAGUACAAACCCAUCUGGCUGCAACAGCCCAGCAGCAUGAAGAUCAAAGUCACGUAGUAGAGCCAGAGAGAAAUUUGCCCUGGGCCUAAUAUUCAUGAAGCCUUUCCAAUUCAGACUCGGUAUUAUUGCCAAGUCGGUGUGUUUGGGAGAAAUCAGAAGCCAACACACUAGAAAAGUUGCAGGAGAUUCCUAGGGGAACCCACAAAGUCAGUUCCUUGCCAGAAACCUGCUCCUCCAGGUGAAUCCGGUGCAUCGGAUGGGCUCAGAUGCACAGGUGGCGCAAGCAGACCUCUACUGAGAAGAACAACAGUGGAAGGCAGAUGAAACUCACAUUUUGGAGUCUGAGAGCCAUGCGGGCCCACCCCAGUCACGUCUACCCCUGGUCGGUGACCAGAGAAUCCUUUAGCAGCAACAGCAGGGAUGUUUAUUUCACUGGUAUGUAUAAAGCGACUGAUUGAAAACAAGCUGUAUGCCCAACAACUUGGAACUGGUUAAAUGAUUUUUGGUUCAGCCACACGGUGGAAUAUCAUGCGGCCAUUAAGAAUAAAUAAAAAAUCCUAUACUUUCCAUAUUCAACUUUAGACUGCAAACAACUGAAACAACACCUUCACAAUUAGGCUUCCUCAGAUUAGAACGUGAAGUCAAGUCAACGUGUGUCAGAAAGCUAACAACAGCUAACUGUUUGUUGUGGUGUUCUGAGUAACUUGUAUUAUUUUUCAGUUUUUUUUCCCAUUCCUAAUGUGCAAAUGUACUAUUUUUAUUGUAAAAAAACACACACAUUUGUAAAGAGCAAUAACAUAAAUCUCUGCAUAGGCAAAUUGAAAGGAAAUCAGACAAAAUGA
This is a long non-coding RNA of Pan troglodytes (chimpanzee), 3467 nucleotides long. RefSeq lists it as uncharacterized. The record is from RefSeq and is a predicted model, not a curated record. NCBI's taxonomy places the organism in Eukaryota, Metazoa, Chordata, Mammalia, Primates, Hominidae. The transcript is spliced from 3 exons.